UGUAAGGUACCGGACUUCUAAAACUAUGAAGUUACGGUGUACAUUUAAAUGGCUCCGGUGAGGUUGCGACGGAAUGUAACAUACCGAAUUUUAAAUAUAAAAGUGAAAAUAAAUAAAAAUAGUAUGAGAUACUAUUUUUAUUGGAUUUAGAGAAGUGAAAUAUAAGUUGGGAAUGACCUGUGCUGAAAUCGGAGCGACAACAGAAGAUUUAGAAUUUUCUGUAAGAAACGGGGCAGAUAAAUUAGCAGAAAAUGCACAGUGUCAGAAAAUUAUGAAAAUUAGCGGAGAUAUCAGAAAUAUUUUUAUGAUACUGGAUUUAAAGUUCCAUGCCAUUCUGACACCCGGAAGGUGAAAAAUAGAAUCCGAAAGCUAUCUGAUAAAGAUUGCAGUUCGGUACAGUUUUCAGUGACCAAACGGGGUCGAAACUCAAAUAUUAAAAUUUCUUUGGACUCGUUAAGUGAGACCGAACAUGACUGUCAAAUUUGAGCUCAAACGGAUGUUCAGGGAGUUCCGGCGAAAGAUAUCAGAUUUCGAACUGCCUGGAGUGAAUAGUAUUUUGGGGGAGUUUACUUGGAGGUGAAGUUUCCUCCUAUAUAUAUAUAUAAGGGUGUUAUGUCAUUUCCCUCAUUCCUCUCUAUUUGAGCCAACAUAAGAGAAAUCUCUCUCUCUCUCUCUCUCUCUCUCUAGGAUUGGCUCCAAAGUGUGGAGUUGGUAGAGAAAAGCUUACUUAAAGGUGAAGCUUUCCUUUUCUUCACCAUUGGCUUGAAGAGAGCUUGAGUUUGAGAGGUAUGCUUUGUUAGCAAUAAUGGUAGAUUGCUAAGUAAUGAUUUGUAUGUCUUAGAAAUGGGUUUAGUGAAACUCCUAGAUGCUAAAUAGAUGGUUGAUGCUCGAAUUUUGAGAUUAAAUGAUGAAUUCUUGCAUAGUUGCAUCUUAGGGCAUCAAAAGAGCGGUUUUUGCUUGUGAGGGGUUUUGAUCUAAAUUGAUCAUGUAUAAACCUAAUUGCUAGGUAAACGAACGCGUUGGGGAAGUCGGUUCUGCGAUUCGUCGAGCCUACGCGAAGUUAUUAAAGAAACGGACGUUUAGGUUUCGUUUCUGCAUAGAGGGCCGAGGCGACGUCGUAAAAUCAUGGAAAUGGAUUUGAAGCAUCGUGGCACAUAACCGAAGACCUAUAAUUUUCAGGGCUGCGAAGCGGAGCACGGUUGAGGCGCAGUUGCAGUAUCGGGCCGUGCCGGAUACGGGUGCCACGGGAGGCCGAUUGCAAGUGUCGACAAUCAAUCGGAACGCGAAUUAAGGUGGGUUGUGCUUACCGAAGCGAUUAGGUCGCCCUUUAUGUCUAAGAAACUAAGAAUCCAUGUUGAUGCAUAUAAAUGUAAAUGAAGCAUGUAAAUGAUGCAUGUAGCUAAAUAAUGCAUGUUGAUAGUAUGAUGUAAAUGCUAAAUAGAAUGCAUUAUGAGCAAGUUACAUAAUGCUAAAUAAUGUAAUGUAGAAAUGCUAGAAUGCAUUAUGAGCAAGUUACAUAAUGCUAAAUAAUGUAAUGUAGAAAUGCUAGAAUGCAUAAUGAGCAAGUUAUAUGAUGCAUGUUUAUAGUAUGAUGUAAAUGCUAAGUAGAUGCAUAUAAAUGAUAUAUGAGAUUAUAAACGCAUGAUUAGCAUUAUGAGAUCAUAGAUGCAUGCUUAGCAUUGUGAGAUUAUAUAUGCAUAUGAACUUGGUUGAUAACUCUAGCUUGAUUAGAGAGAUAACAUUGGAAAAUGAGAAUUGAUAACUCUAGAAUGAGUAGAAUGCUUAAUUGGACAAUUAGUAUGUGAAUUAGAUCGAGUGGCAUCUAACUUAGUGUUAAGGAACAUAGGUCGUGAGUAGACCUAGAAUCAAAUAGAUCGAGUGGCAUCUAACCUAGUGUUAAUAAACAUAGGUCGUGAAAUGAAAAGUACUUAACCUAGAGUCAAGUGAACCUAGGUUGGAAAGAAUAAUGAUCCUAGUGUAAUAAACCUAGGUUAAGAAUGUGAAAGCAAUAAACCUAAUGGGUGAACUUAGGUUGAGUAAAGGCUUAGACCUAGAGAGGUCAGUUCCAUAGGGUUAAGACCAACCCCUAUGUGAUGUGAAAUGGAUUCCGGAAUCCCAAGGCUAAAAGGAUACACCCAAAGUGGUGUCGGGUGUGUGCGACGAUUUCGCCGCCCAAGGGCUAAAGAACCAUUGUCGUGGCGUGUGCGACGAUUUCGCCGCCGGAUGGUUAGCCAGUUUGUGGAUCCUACCGCCUGUUGAUUGAACCACUGUCGUGGCGUUUGUGCGACGAUUUCGCCGCCGGGUGGCUUAGUCAUGGACCUAGGCCGUUGUUGGGUGAGGUGCGAUUCGUUCGCCGCCAGACGGCUAGGAUAGGAGUACGGUGAGCUGUUGCCAGCUGAGGUGCAUGUGAGAGUUCCUUCACCUCGAGCUAGAUAGUGCGCGGACUAUCCGCGAUUGAUUGACUCGAAGCCGAGUCGGGUGGUUAGCUAUGAUAGGGUAGAGGAACCCUUAUGAGCUAGAGAUAGAGGCUUGAGCUAAGGUAAUAGAAACCUUAGAAGCCAGUGGUUAGUGUUGUGAUCCUAAGGUAAUAGAAACCUUAGAGUAAAGUUAUGAGCUAAAGUAGCCAAGUAUAAGUAGAAUUCAAAUGAUCUACUAGUUGCAUGAUUUUCAUAUCUCAUAUCGUGAGGCAUGGCAUGUAUAUUUCAAUUGAAAAUAUAUGUCUGUUGUAUAUUGUUGAACUAACAUAUUGCAGUGCCUCCUCGGACCUAUCGGUCGAUCUUUUCCCUUAGGUGGCCGUACCCACUGGGAACCAUGGAGUUGGUUCUCACCCCACGUGGUUUUGGGGUGUUUUCAGGUUGUUCGUGCGCGGCGUGGUGGCGCGAGGCAAGGGCGUAGCUCAGUAGAUAGCGCCCCACCACAGAGACCGAGGUAGCAGUACCGUGAGACAGUCUAGCUUAGGGGUCUAGAAGACAAGAAAAGAAAAUGUAUCAAACUUGAUAACUCUGAUGUAAUAGCGAGAUUGUAAUUUGGAAGUAAAAAUGUAAACAGAAACUGUGAUGUAAAAAGUGGUUGUAAAAUGAAUGCAUGUAAUAGCAAGUAGAUUAUGUAUUUGAUACUUCCUUAUGCAAUCUGGAUUGAUAUCCGUUCCUAGUUGGAACAUUCGUUGAUUGUUUGGAUUGCGACGCCUUGGACGUACUGGGGAGACUCUGUCCGCGUACAAAGGAAUCCCCGGUCCGUUCGGUGGUCUGUCGUCGGCGCCGCGACCCUGUCCAAAUAGGCGGUUGGUCGCAGGGAGUGACAGAUAAGAUGGUAUCAGAGCAUAAAGUAGAGAAUGGGCUAUGGUUUAGCUGGACCUAGGAGACCUAGGAUAGUAAACCAUAGGAGAAUAAGGCUCGUGAGAGACGAGGACUUGUGAAUUACGGCGAAAGAUUGAUCGAUUGGGUCAGGUUAGUAACCCUCUGAAACGGAUGUUAGAGGUGGAUUCAAGGUUCAGUUUAUUCUCAGCCGAGGAUGUUCAUGUUGGGCAUGCACAACAUGAAACCGGGUGAUGAGAAUAGACGUCCUUGCGUGACUUUCGCCCGAUUUGAGUCAGUGUUAGUUGUCUCGUGUUCGACCCAGAGGGUCGAGGGUUGAACGAGUUGUCGUGCUUUAGGAAGCGAUGGCAUCGUGUAGGCGAUCAAUAUAAAGAUCGGCGCGGGAUGAGACAAGUGGUGUCCCUAAGCAAUCUGAAGCGAGCGGAGAAUUGAAACUUCGCUAUCAAUUGGCCACACUCGUGGGAGUGGUGAGGCCACGAGUCGGUGGUGCAGCGUCAGUAGGAGACUACCAUACACCAAAGGGAUCGUGUAAGAGGGACUCCAAGAGUUGGUGGACCAGUGGUGAUCGCACUAGUUUCGGCUCGUCGAGUAUGGCCGGGAGUCGCGGUGGAGGUGUUUCCGUCGGGGUUGGGUGAUCCGACUUCUAGCAGUUCGUUGGUGGAGGCAGUGAGGAGGGCGAGCUUUGGUGGCCCUCAUGACCUUCAAGCUAUUGGAUCCACCCACCUUUGGUGGAGAGGAUGCGGAUCCAUGAACCAUGGAGUUGUGGAUCGACUCCAUAGAGACUCUCUUUAAGGGUCUAUGUGCUGUGGAGCGGGAUAAGGUACGCCUAGCCGUGCGUUGUCUGAAACAAUCGGCGAUGGUGUGGUGGAAAGGCGUCAAGCGGAUUUGAUCGCCUAGUUUCCUUCCUGUCGCUUGGGAUGAGCUUCGGGAUUUGUCGUGUUCUACUUCCCCGUACCCCGUACCCGAAGUUUGCCCAGUCUGGGCAGUGCACAUUCUUGAGUGCAAUUGCAAUCCCUAACCUCGGAGGUGUCUUGUGUUAACUUCUUCAAGAUACGGGAUUACCGAAGUUCUCACCAGGCGCGGUGGGGUGCGCUGCGUGAUGAGAUCUGCAUUCGUAUGGGCGAUGGCCAAGCCAUAAGCGAGGGGAGUGCCGCUGAGGGAUGAUCAGACCUUAGCGUUAGCGACGGCCUCCUCCUCCCCGAGACAGCCUGUGCGUGUGUCACCUGCAGCAUGGUUUGGAGGGUGAGUGAUAAAGAAGUGACAACCUGAGGGUUCGCGGCGAGCGCCAGGUGGCCAUGGAUAGCGACCCGGUUUGGGGAGCCUGCUGCUGCCGAGGAUAUCGCGGCAGAUGUGAUUUAGUUAAAGCAAGCAGGUACUUUUGCAUGAUCUCAAGUUGACGCAUUGUGUCUUUGCCCUGUGGUCAUUUACUGCUAUCGAUGCGUCAGAGUGGCAGGGACCAAGUGGACGGGUAAGUGUAAAUGCCCGGGCAUGCUUAUGCGGUGAAAGUGUAGCACCUGCCGGUGCAAGCAAGGAGCUAUAUGGCACUAACAAGUUACUAGUGAUAACCAGGUGAUAAGACUCAUGGUAAAGGUGGAGAUGGGGAAAUGACUCUCGAGGCAACGAUUAGUGGAUUGCGAGGGUUGAACCAUAAUACCUGUAGACACGCGAGUAAUCCGAGAAUUUCGGAUAUUGUUCCGAUAGAUCGAACGGUGAAAGGAAAGUCAUUGUUGAGAGAGUAACUGGUUAGUUACCAAGUUGUGGCACGUGGGCCUAGUAGUAGCACCUCAACUUGAGGUUAGAAGUUGUGCUUAUUUGGUCGGCGCGCAUAGGCAGGGUUGCCUGAUGCUAGAUUUAGUUUGGAACGCUAUAGAGGCGUGUAGAGCGCUUGAGUAUAGGUACUCGUGGUGUGCGGUAUUCACUCAGCCGAGAAAGUGAGAUGGCAGUAGCACUGUAGCAUUGCUAGGUGUGAAGCGUGCCUGGUAUCACUCGUAGGGGCUGAUGGCUCGCACUAGGUGCUUAGGAGCGGAUAUUGGUAUGUGUGACUCGGUAGAGCAUGUCGUGUAGGACGACGACGGCGGGUAGUGCUUGGGGACGACCCGUGCCUGGACCAUUUGUGGACUGUAGAGCCUGAGCCCUUUGGGCAGGCGCAGUCAGCUGUGAGAGACAGCGGCCCGAUACCUACAGGUAGGGCAGAGAUUUGGUCAGGAUGGUAGUCCGAGCUUAGACCCGGGAGCGUGGAAUGCCACGUGUUAGAUCAUGAGAUCGAGGAUACACCGAGUGUGUAGUGACCCAACCCGAGGAUUUGAGGUGGUUUGGGGUCACGGUUGCUCCUGGUUGGAGCGUGUGCGAAUUCUCCAAUGCGAAUUUCGCCCGAUUAUGAUUUGGCCUACGCUGGUGAGCAAGGGACGCUAUACGUAGUUGUAAGAGGUUUAGGCGGUAGACCUACGUAGGACGGGUGACUGUUGGUCCACCUGUGGAAACCGACGUAAUCGGUUUAGCCGAUAACUCUAUUAGUGAGUUGGCUUGGAUUCACGAACAUAGGGUUCGUGUGGAUUUGUCGCAAGAGCAAGGUAAAGUUGGUCGUGGCUUAUGAUAUCAAGGGCGAAAUGCUCUUGUGCGAUAUUGAGAUGUGGAUAGCCACGUGGGAAUUGGAGCUUGAGGACAAUGCUCUUUUGUGGAUUGAGAUUGGAGAUGUGCCGGAAUGGGCCAUCUCCUGAUAGAACAAGGAUCCGGUUGUGAUGAACCACUCGCGAUUGGUCGAGUCACCAACGAUAUUGCUUCUAAGCAAUGCAGGUGAUCGAAUCGGAGUGAAAUUUUUCGUUUGGGUGUAUAAUGCAAGAGUAGUUCUUUGCAUGGUGGUAAUACACUUUUGGAGCUGCACGUGGCAAAUGUGAGUGAAUCUAGUCUCACAUCUUCCGUAGUGAGCCUAUGGAUAGUUCCGAUGAGCGAAAAGCCACUCCGAGAUGCAAAAGUGCACUGUACCCCUUGUCACUCAAGAAAGAGAAUUAGAGUGUGAAUUGGGUUGAAGUGAGUGAGUUUCGGGGACGAAACUCUUUUUAAGGAGGGGAGAAUGUAAGGUACCGGACUUCUAAAACUAUGAAGUUACGGUGUACAUUUAAAUGGCUCCGGUGAGGUUGCGGCGGAAUGUAACAUACCGGAUUUUAAAUAUAAAAGUGAAAAUAAAUAAAAAUAGUAUGAGAUACUAUUUUUAUUGGAUUUAGAGAAGUGAAAUAUAGGUUGGGAAUGACCUGUGCUGAAAUCGGAGCGAAAACAGAAGAUUUAGAAUUUUCUGUUGGAAAUGGGACAGAUAAUUAGCAGAAAAUGCACAGUCUCAGAAAAUUAUGAAAAUUGGCGGGGAUGUCAGAAAUAUUUUAAUGAGGCUAGAUUUGAAGUUUCAUAUUUUUCUGACGCCCGUAGAGAGAGAAAUAGCAUCCGAAAGCCAUCUGAUAAAGAUUGCAGUUCGGCACAGUUUUCGGUGACCAAACGGGGUCGAAACUGAAAUAUUAAAAUUUCUUUGGACUUAUUAAGUAAAACCGAGCGUGCCUGUCAAAUUUGAGCUCAAACGGAUAUUCAGGGAGCUCCGGCGAAAGAUAUCAGAUUUGGAGCUGCCUGAUGUGAAUAGUGUAUGCUACUAUUGAGGUGUUGACUAUAAGUAGAAGCUACUAGGCUUCUUCCUCCUCAAGUUGCAGCCAGCACCAAGCAUCACACGCACAUGGUGUAGUGAGAGAAACCCUCUCUUUCUCUCUCUAAAUAUCUCUCUCAUCUCUCUAUAUUUCUCGCCCAAAUUCGCGGCGUUGGUGGAGAUCGAGCUUGCGAACGCGUUGGAGGCGACGGAUUGAGCUUUCGUGCGCCCGUUGGAGCGGCGUGUUUUCGUUGCGGCGUUCACAUUGGGGUAAGCUUUUGGGAUUUGGCUUAAUCCUUAGCUUUAAGUGUUCUAUUAGCCUCUAAUGAUCAUUAGUAAGCAUAUUGAUCCAUUUAAUUUGGAUUAUUUGGAGGUUAAUUGUACGUUAGGGCUCCGAAUGGGAUUUUGUAAAAUGUAAGGGUUUGAUCUCAUUUGACCCUUCGUAAACCUAAUUGCUAGGUAACGAAACGCGUUGGCGAAGACGGUUCGGUAAUUCGACGAGCCGUUACAAAGUUAUUAAAGAAAUAGACGUUUAGGCUUCGGGUCCGCCGGGAGGGCCGAUGCGACGUCGUAAAAUCAUGGAAAUGGAUUUGAGGCAUCGUGGCACAUAACCGAAGACCUAUAAUUUCCGGAUUUGUAAAGCGGAACACGGUUGAGGCGCAAGAUCUUGUCGGGCCCAAAGGGUGCCGAGUGCCGCGGGAGGCCGAUUGCAAGUGACGACAAGCAAUCGGAACGCGAGUUAAGGUGGGUUGUGCUUACCGAAGCGACUAGGUCGCCCUUUAUGUCUUAGCAAUGUAAUCUCAUGUUGAUGCAUGUGCAUGUAGACAAGAGCAAGGAUGCAUGUUAAUAAAGAUGCAUAAAGUAGAUGCUAAGUAGAAAGCAUGAUAAAUGGUAAUGCUUAGAGCAAAUGCAUAUUAAUAACAAUGCAUAGUGGAGCAUAAUGAUUAUGGCAUUAGAUAAUGCUAGCUAAUGUAAAGUAAUGCAUGAUAAUGAUAAUGCAUAGAUGAAAAUGCUUAGUAGAAAUGCAUGGUGAGCAAGUUACACAAUGCUAAUAAUGCAUGAUAAUAAUGUAAUGCUAAGUAAUGCAUGAUAUGAAGUAAAUGCAUAUUAAUAAUAAUGCAUGAUGAGGAUGCUAAGUAAGGGAUGCAUGUUAGUAAUGAUGCAAAGAGUAAUUGCUAAGUAGAAAGCAUGAUGCAUGGUAUAUGUAUAUAAACCAGAUGAUAACUCUAGGAUGAGUAGAGAUGACUGGACAACUAAGUUGUCAGGUAGAUCGAGUGGCAUCUAACCUAGUGUUAAAGAACAUAGGUUGGUUAGUAAACCUAGAGUUGAACAAUCUAGGUGUGUGGCAUCUAACCUAGUGUUAGUAAACCUAGGUUGAACUAGUAAACCUAGAAGUGGAUAUCUAGGCAAAGAUGAUAAGAACCUAGCAAGUGUAUCUAGGUUAAGUGAUGUGGACAUAGAACCUAGAGUGUUGGAACCUAGGUUGAUGAGUAUAGUGGUAUAGCCACUAGAUUGAGCUAGGUCGACAGUAUAGGGUUGGCUAUGAACCCUCGACCUGUGGUAAGUGGAUUCCGGAAUCCCAGGACUUAUGAUGUCCCUGGUACAGGCUAGGGCGUUCGUGCGACGAUUUCGCCGCCGAGCUUGGUACCGUGGGUAGAUUGGGGGCGAUCACAUGGAGAUCACCGCCCGGGGCUUGAACCAUUGUGCUGGCGUUUGUGCGACGAUUUCGCCGCCAGAGUGGUUAAGCCAUUUGAGGAUCAGACCGCCAGAGUAGACUGAAUCCAUGCUGGGUAAGUACGAUGCGGGUGCCUCCAGGUGACUGAGUCUGACAUGAUCGUUGUUGGGUGUGGUGCGACCCGUUCGCCGCCAGACGGUAUGUCAUGUCUCGAGCUCACGCUGGGUAUGUGCAACGCGAUCGCCACCGAUGGUCAAGUCUUGUGACUCGAGCCGUCUUCA
Molecule: long non-coding RNA, 8892 nt
Filed under: Ananas comosus (pineapple)
Lineage: Eukaryota; Viridiplantae; Streptophyta; Magnoliopsida; Poales; Bromeliaceae
Description: long non-coding RNA (ACOM_LNC033173)
Source: RNAcentral